This 253-nucleotide ribosomal RNA is filed under the name uncultured bacterium. RNAcentral's name for it is "partial 16S ribosomal RNA". It matches the Rfam family "Bacterial small subunit ribosomal RNA", at positions 524 to 776 of the family's 1533-position model. The record is from RNAcentral.
UACGUAGGGGGCAAGCGUUGUCCGGAAUUAUUGGGCGUAAAGGGUAGGUAGGUGGUCUCAUUUGUCUGGGGUGAAAGCCUUGAGCUUAACUCAAGAAGUGCCCCAGAAACGGUGAGACUGGAGUCCUGGAGAGGGUCGUGGAAUUCCCGGUGUAGCGGUGAAAUGCGUAGAGAUCGGGAGGAACACCAGAGGCGAAAGCGGCGACCUGGACAGGUACUGACACUGAGGAGCGAAAGCGUGGGGAGCAAACAGG